RNAcentral lists this ribosomal RNA (702 nucleotides) under uncultured organism. Its description in RNAcentral is "bacterial SSU rRNA". It matches the Rfam family "Bacterial small subunit ribosomal RNA", at positions 747 to 1458 of the family's 1533-position model. The record is from RNAcentral.
UGAGAGACGACAGCUAGGGGAGCGUACAGGAUUAGAGACCCUGGUAGUCCUAGCCGUAAACGAUGGAUGCUAGGUGUGGGAGUGAAGAACUUCUGUGCCGCAGCGAACGCGAUAAGCAUCCCGCCUGGGGAGUACGGCCGCAAGGUUAUACUCAAACGAAUUGACGGGGACCCGGCACAAGCAGCGGAGCGUGUGGUUUAAUUCGAUUGCUACACGAAGAACCUUACCUGGGAUUGACAUAUGGGUGGUAGUGAGCCGAAAGGCAAGCGACCCUUCCGGGGAGCCUAUACAGGUGCUGCAUGGCUGUCGUCAGCUCGUGCCGUGAGGUGUCGGGUUAAGUCCCGUAACGAGCGCAACCCCUGUCCUUAGUUACAAGUGUCUAAGGGGACUGCCGGCGGGAAGCCGGAGGAAGGUGAGGGAUGACGUUCAAGUCAGCUAUGGCCAAGUAAAUACAAGGGCGACACACACGCUACAAUGGUCGGUACAGAGGGCAGCGAAGCCGCGAGGUGGAGCGAAACCCAGAAAGCCGGUCGUAGUUCGGAUUGCAGGCUGCAACUCGCCUGCAUGAAGUUGGAGUUGCUAGUAACCGCAGGUCAGCCAUACUGCGGUGAUACGUUCCCGGGUCUUGUACACACCGCCCGUCACGUCAUGGGAGUCGGUAACGCCUGAAGACGGUAGUCUGACCGGAAGGAAACGCUGUCG